CCUACGGGAGGUAGCAGUGGGGAAUAUUGGACAAUGGGCGAAAGCCUGAUCCAGCCAUGCCGCGUGUGUGAAGAAGGCCUUCGGGUUGUAAAGCACUUUCAGUGGGGAAGAAAGCCUUGGGGCUAAUACCCUCGAGGAAGGACAUCACCCACAGAAGAAGCACCGGCUAACUCCGUGUCAGCAGCCGCGGUAAUACGGAGGGUGCGAGCGUUAAUCGGAAUUACUGGGCGUAAAGCGCGCGUAGGCGGUCUGAUAAGCCGGUUGUGAAAGCCCCGGGCUCAACCUGGGAACGGCAUCCGGAACUGUCAGGCUAGAGUGCAGGAGAGGAAGGUAGAAUUCCCGGUGUAGCGGUGAAAUGCGUAGAGAUCGGGAGGAAUACCAGUGGCGAAGGCGGCCUUCUGGACUGACACUGACGCUGAGGUGCGAAAGCGUGGGUAGCAAACAGGAUUAGAUACCCGAGUAGUC
RNAcentral lists this ribosomal RNA (465 nucleotides) under Vreelandella stevensii. RNAcentral describes it as "partial 16S ribosomal RNA". It matches the Rfam family "Bacterial small subunit ribosomal RNA", at positions 338 to 795 of the family's 1533-position model. Lineage: Bacteria; Pseudomonadati; Pseudomonadota; Gammaproteobacteria; Oceanospirillales; Halomonadaceae. The record is from RNAcentral.